CGAUUCAGGACCAGAUCACACCAUGAUGCUGACACAUCUGCUAGGCCUACUGCUAAUAGCAGCACACAGUGUGAGGAGUGAUGUUGUUCUUACUCAGCCGAGCUCCAUGGUGACCCAGCCUGGGCAGACUCUACGCCUCUCCUGUAAUGUGGCUGGAUAUUCACUGACUAGUACCGAUUACCGCACUAGUUGGAUAAGGCAGCCUGCAGGGAAAGCACUGGAGUGGAUAGGGCACAUUUGCUAUGUUGGGAACACAGCUUACAGUGAUAAACUGAAAAACAAGUUCAGCAUCUCCAGAGACACCUCCAGCAGCACAGUGACUCUACAGGGCCAGAAUAUGCAGCCUGAGGACACAGCUGUGUAUUACUGUGCCCGAGAGUCACACUGA
Engraulis encrasicolus (European anchovy) is the source of this 388-nucleotide non-coding RNA. NCBI's taxonomy places the organism in Eukaryota, Metazoa, Chordata, Actinopteri, Clupeiformes, Engraulidae. The record is from the annotation of a RefSeq genome assembly.